CCACUGGUGGUUCAGUGUUAGAAUUCUCACCUUCCAUGCAAGAGAUCUGGGUUCGACUCCCAGCCAAUGCA
Molecule: transfer RNA, 71 nt
Filed under: Loxodonta africana (African savanna elephant)
Lineage: Eukaryota; Metazoa; Chordata; Mammalia; Proboscidea; Elephantidae
Rfam family: tRNA
About the family: Transfer RNA (tRNA) molecules are approximately 80 nucleotides in length. Their secondary structure includes four short double-helical elements and three loops (D, anti-codon, and T loops).
Source: Rfam by way of RNAcentral